GGAAGCUUUCAAACUUGCCUGAGGUUUGGAAUUGGCUCUGAAUAAAAGGUGUUGUGUGUCUCAAGUGCCCUCUGAAGUGGCCGGCCCAAGGGCUCUCCAGCAGCCCAAACAGCCAGCACACAAAGCCAUUAAACAUCGAGUGCCUGCCCAUGGUUACCUGGAGAGGGUUUGCAGCUGAGCCCCGCAGGAACCGGCUUUGUCUGAAACACCACCCCCGGCAGGUGGGAAAAGCCCGGGCUGCUGAUGGCUCUCCUGCAUCUCCCAUCCAGCCAUCCAAGACUUGUCCUGCAGCCACAGAGGAUCCAGGCCAGUUUUGGGGGGCAGGGACUGCACUGCCACAGGGAACUCCAGACCUCAGUCCUGGGAGAGAGACAGAGCCAAGGCAGGUGAGGGCAGUGCCCUCUGAAGCAGGAGGACACAUCCAUGUGGGCCACUGUCCUUGGAUGUGGGAGGAUGGGAGGAGAAGAGGGCCAAGGCAUCUGCCUUGGAGAUGGAGAAGUCCUGCAGGCUCCCAGCUUGCCAUUUGUGCCAUCCUGCCCUCACAAGGACAUCCCCGACUCUGGGAGCCGCAGGAUCACAGCUGGCUCCAGCAGCUCCCCUGGAUUUUCUCUGCCCUGCCUGAGCUCUCCAGAAGCACCCUGCUGCCGUGGAUGCAGAUGGGAAAGGGAGCACUCCUGGCCUGGAGCAUCUGA
Molecule: long non-coding RNA, 692 nt
Filed under: Cyanistes caeruleus (blue tit)
Lineage: Eukaryota; Metazoa; Chordata; Aves; Passeriformes; Paridae
Description: lncRNA (ENSCCEG00000021284.1)
Source: RNAcentral